GACGAACGCUGGCGGCGUGCUUAACACAUGCAAGUCGAACGGAAAGGCCCUGCUUUUGUGGGGUGCUCGAGUGGCGAACGGGUGAGUAACACGUGAGUAACCUGCCCUUGACUUUGGGAUAACUUUAGGAAACUGGGGCUAAUACCGGAUAGGAGCUCCUGCUGCAUGGUGGGGGUUGGAAAGUUUCGGCGGUUGGGGAUGGACUCGCGGCUUAUCAGCUUGUUGGUGGGGUAGUGGCUUACCAAGGCUUUGACGGGUAGCCGGCCUGAGAGGGUGACCGGCCACAUAGGGACAGAGAUACGGCCCAGAGUCCGACGGGAGGCAGCAGUGCGAAUAUUGCACAAUGGGCGGAAGCCUGAUGCAGCAACGCCGCGUGCGGGAUGACGGCCUUCGGGUUGUAAACCGCUUUGGCCUGUGACGAAGCGUGAGUGACGGUAAUGGGUAAAGAAGCACCGGCUAACUACGUG
RNAcentral lists this ribosomal RNA (467 nucleotides) under uncultured bacterium. RNAcentral's name for it is "partial 16S ribosomal RNA". It matches the Rfam family "Bacterial small subunit ribosomal RNA", at positions 28 to 507 of the family's 1533-position model. The record is from RNAcentral.